Molecule: ribosomal RNA, 304 nt
Filed under: uncultured bacterium
Lineage: Bacteria
Description: partial 16S ribosomal RNA
Rfam family: Bacterial small subunit ribosomal RNA
Source: RNAcentral
CAGCAGCCGCCGCGGUAAUACGGAGGGGGCUAGCGUUGUUCGGAAUUACUGGGCGUAAAGCGCACGUAGGCGGCUUGGUAAGUUAGAGGUGAAAGCCUGGAGCUCAACUCCAGAAUUGCCUUUAAGACUGCCGAGCUAGCAGGUGAGAGAGGUAAGUGGAAUUCCGAGUGUGGAGGUGAAAUUCGUAGAUAUUCGGAAGAACACCAGUGGCGAAGGCGGCUUACUGGCUCAUACUGGACGCUGAGGUGCGAAAGCGUGGGGAGCAAACAGGAUUAGAUACCCCAGUAGUCCCUGUCUCUUAUAA